CAUGGUUGUCGUCAGCUCGUGUCGUGAGAUGUGGGUUAAGUCCCGCAACGAGCGCAACCCCUAUUGUUAGUUGCCAUCAUUCAGUUGGGCACUCUAGCGAGACUGCCGGUAAUAAACCGGAGGAAGGUGGGGAUGACGUCAAAUCAUCAUGCCCCUUAUGACCUGGGCUACACACGUGCUACAAUGGUUGGUACAACGAGUUGCGAGUCGGUGACGGCGAGCUAAUCUCUUAAAGCCAAUCUCAGUUCGGAUUGUAGGCUGCAACUCGCCUACACGAAGUCGGAAUCGCUAGUAAUCGCGGAUCAGCACGCCGCGGUGAAUACGUUCCCGGGCCUU
Molecule: ribosomal RNA, 336 nt
Filed under: uncultured Streptococcus sp.
Lineage: Bacteria; Bacillati; Bacillota; Bacilli; Lactobacillales; Streptococcaceae
Description: bacterial SSU rRNA
Rfam family: Bacterial small subunit ribosomal RNA
Source: RNAcentral